Molecule: ribosomal RNA, 178 nt
Filed under: uncultured Desulfocapsa sp.
Lineage: Bacteria; Pseudomonadati; Thermodesulfobacteriota; Desulfobulbia; Desulfobulbales; Desulfocapsaceae
Description: partial 16S ribosomal RNA
Rfam family: Bacterial small subunit ribosomal RNA
Source: RNAcentral
ACCAGGGCUACACACGUACUACAAUGGCAGGUACAAAGGGCAGCCACUUAGCGAUAAGGCGCGAAUCCCAUAAAACCUGUCUCAGUCCGGAUUUGGAGUCUGCAACUCCGACUCCAUGAAGUUGGAAUCGCUAGUAAUCGCAGAUCAGCACGCUGCGGUGAAUACGUUCCCGGGCCUU